ACUCCUACGGGAGGCAGCAGUGGGGAAUAUUGCACAAUGGGCGCAAGCCUGAUGCAGCAACGCCGCGUGAGUGAUGAAGGCCUUCGGGUCGUAAAGCUCUGUCCUCAAGGAAGAAUAAAUGACGGUACUUGAGGAGGAAGCCCCGGCUAACUACGUGCCAGCAGCCGCGGUAAUACGUAGGGGGCAAGCGUUAUCCGGAAUCACUGGGCGUAAAGGGUGCGUAGGCGGUUUUUCAAGUCAGAAGUGAAAGGCUAUGGCUCAACCAUAGUAAGCUUUUGAAACUGUUAAACUUGAGUGCAGGAGAGGAAAGUGGAAUUCCUAGUGUAGAGGUGAAAUUCGUAGAUAUUAGGAGGAACACCAGUGGCGAAGGCGACUUUCUGGACUGUAACUGACGCUGAGGCACGAAAGCGUGGGGAGCGAACAGGAUUAGAUACCCUGGUAGCACAGAGC
This 450-nucleotide ribosomal RNA is filed under the name uncultured bacterium. RNAcentral describes it as "bacterial SSU rRNA". It matches the Rfam family "Bacterial small subunit ribosomal RNA", at positions 335 to 800 of the family's 1533-position model. The record is from RNAcentral.